AUGCACCUGAGGGAGGUUGUGACUGCCAUCAGCUACACCUUCGAAAUUUCUGGGCCCAUGAUGGAAUCCCGGCUCAUUUGCUGCCAAAAUUCAGCCGACGUUGACAAAUGGGUUCAGAACCUCCAGAACCAAAUCAAGAUGGCAAAUGCUAACUACUCAGUCAGUCCCACCAAUAACAUCUCUUUCCUGGUGCCGUGUGAUGAGCAGUGGAAGAAAAGAGAGCUGAUGAGACAUCUCUUGUGCAACACCAUUCUGAAAUGGGAAGGAAAACCAAUUCAACACCUGGGAAGGAUUCAGUAUCUGACCAUGGUGCAAAUGGCCACUGGCUGCACAGAGGAUCCCAAGGAAAGGCUGCUGAUCCUGUUUGCAGAAGACCUGCUUUUCCUCUCUGUGGAUGAGGAGAGAACUACAGUCACAUACGAGGUAACAGGAAACAGUAGAAAUGGUCAAGUGAGUACAGAACUGAGAACUGGUGAACAGCUCUGGGUGAUGAAAAUAAACAGCAGGGAGAAAAAGGAAGAACACAUUGAAAAGCAGUGUUUUCCUUUCAUUUUUGAAGGGAAAACUCCCCUUGACGGGAAUCCAGGCAAAGGAGAAAUCCACUGUGCUGGGGAGGUUACAGCUUGAAAUUACAGGAAGCCUGACAGAACCAAUCCUCAUCAAUUGUUCCACAGCAGAAGAUUAUGAAAAAUUACUCUUCCACCUACAGAAGGUACUUUUUUCAGACAAGUUUGUGACUCUCUAGUGUAUAAAUAUUUGGCAGAUAAUAUUCAUGUUAAAAAUAGUAUUUUCACAUGAUAAAAACAUGUUCUGGCUAUCUGUUCCAGCCAGAGAAAAACCUUGAUACUGUGACACUCCAGCCACCACCAAUCAUCCCUAAGAAAUCCUGGCAACAUCAUUAGGAUGCCGGCAUCCACUGACAAGAAGAGGGAACAUGAAUAUGAUCCCAACAGAAAGUGAAGAAGCUGCAAAAAUGAAUAAGAGGAAAACCAAGCUUCUUUCAGACUGAGAGGUGAAUAAGGACCUGCAGAUGAAUGGUUCUUCACUGGCUGCUGUUUUGAACGAGCCAUUGCAAUUGAUGUAGGACCUUGUGGUUCUGACCUCAGCUGUACAUAUGCCUCAACGAGAAAUCUCUCUCAAUUUGCUUGCUAUAUUUAUUGCCUGAUCCUUUUCAGAAAAAAAAGAAAAAGAAAGAAAGAAACAUUGUAAAAUACUCUGUAAGUAAUACAAAUAAAACCAUUAACCUGUGCUUAAACCA
This 1258-nucleotide long non-coding RNA is filed under the name Chrysolophus pictus (golden pheasant). RNAcentral describes it as "lncRNA (ENSCPIG00010005549.1)". Lineage: Eukaryota; Metazoa; Chordata; Aves; Galliformes; Phasianidae. The record is from RNAcentral.